RNAcentral lists this ribosomal RNA (490 nucleotides) under uncultured bacterium. RNAcentral describes it as "partial 16S ribosomal RNA". It matches the Rfam family "Bacterial small subunit ribosomal RNA", at positions 28 to 507 of the family's 1533-position model. The record is from RNAcentral.
GAUGAACGCUAGCGAUAGGCUUAACACAUGCAAGUCGAGGGGCAGCAUGGUCUUAGCUUGCUAAGACUGAUGGCGACCGGCGCACGGGUGCGUAACGCGUAUGCAACUUGCCUCACAGAGGGGGAUAACCCGUCGAAAGACGGACUAAUACCGCGUACACUCUAUUUUGGGCAUCCAAGGUAGAGGAAAUGAAAUUCGCUGUGAGAUAGGCAUGCGUCCCAUUAGCUAGUUGGUGAGGUAACGGCUCACCAAGGCGACGAUGGGUAGGGGAACUGAGAGGUUGAACCCCCACACUGGUACUGAGACACGGACCAGACUCCUACGGGAGGCAGCAGUGAGGAAUAUUGGUCAAUGGGCGAGAGCCUGAACCAGCCAAGUCGCGUGAAGGAUGACUGUCUUAUGGAUUGUAAACUUCUUUUGCAGGGGAAUAAAGAGGGGCACGUGUGCCCCAGUGAAUGUACCCUACGAAUAAGCAUCGGCUAACUCCGUG